CCCUUAGAUGUUCUGGGCCGCACGCGCGCUACACUGAUUCAUGCAACAAGUUUUGUCCUUGGCUGAUAGGCCUGGGUAAUCUUUGAACGUGAAUCGUGAUGGGGAUAGAUGAUUGCAAUUAUUCUUCUUCAACGAGGAAUUCCUAGUAAACGCAAGUCAUCAGCUUGCAUUGAUUACGUCCCUGCCCUUUGUACACACCGCCCGUCGCACCUACCGAUUGAAUGGUCCGGUGAAAUCUUCGGAUCUGAGAGAUGUCUGAUUAAUUUCGGACGCCUUUUGGAAAAGUUGCUUAAACCUUACCAUUUAGAGGAAGGUGAAGUCGUAACA
This 327-nucleotide ribosomal RNA is filed under the name uncultured eukaryote. Its description in RNAcentral is "partial 18S ribosomal RNA". It matches the Rfam family "Eukaryotic small subunit ribosomal RNA", at positions 1470 to 1796 of the family's 1831-position model. The record is from RNAcentral.